RNAcentral lists this ribosomal RNA (196 nucleotides) under uncultured bacterium. RNAcentral's name for it is "partial 16S ribosomal RNA". It matches the Rfam family "Bacterial small subunit ribosomal RNA", at positions 328 to 539 of the family's 1533-position model. The record is from RNAcentral.
ACGCUCGACACCUACGAGAGGCAGUGGGGAAUAUUGCACAAUGGGGGAAACCCUGAUGCAGCAACGCCGCGUGAAGGAAGACGGUUUUCGGAUUGUAAACUUCUGUUCUUAGUGAAGAUAGUGACGGUAGCUAAGGAGCAAGCCACGGCUAACUACGUGCUAGCAGCCGCGGUAAUCUGAGGCGGGCUGGCAAGGC